RNAcentral lists this ribosomal RNA (261 nucleotides) under uncultured Lamproderma sp. RNAcentral describes it as "partial 18S ribosomal RNA". It matches the Rfam family "Eukaryotic small subunit ribosomal RNA", at positions 28 to 267 of the family's 1831-position model. The record is from RNAcentral. Lineage: Eukaryota; Evosea; Eumycetozoa; Stemonitida.
AUGCUUCUCCUAAAGACUAAGCCAUGCAUGCCUUCGAAUAAGAGGAAGCAAUUCUCUCUGAAUCUGCGAACGGCUCCGCAAACCAGUUGUAAACUAUGGCAAGCAGGCCGCGUGCCGGCCCUCACGGGCUGGUGCGCGGUCAGAUGGAUAACCCUGGUAAUUCUGAGGCUAAUACAUGAACGUAAAACCUAGUUGACCGGGUUUCGGCCUGGGAUUCUGGGGGAUGUGUGAUUGCAGGCUUGGUUUAACCGGGAAUGGGCG